This 497-nucleotide ribosomal RNA is filed under the name uncultured bacterium. RNAcentral describes it as "partial 16S ribosomal RNA". It matches the Rfam family "Bacterial small subunit ribosomal RNA", at positions 28 to 507 of the family's 1533-position model. The record is from RNAcentral.
GAUGAACGCUGGCGGCGUGCCUAAUACAUGCAAGUCGAACGCACAGACUUGGAGCUUGCUCUUCUUACGUUAGCGGCGGACGGGUGAGCAAUACGUGGAUAACCUACCUAUAACUCUGGGAUAACUUCGGGAAACCGGAGCUAAUACCGGAUAUUAUAUUCAACCGCAUGGUUCUAUGGUGAAAGACGGUUUUGCUGUUUCUUAUAGCUGACUCCGCGCCGCAUUAGCUAGUUGGUAAGGUCACGCCUUACCAAGGCCACGAUGCGUACCCGACCGGAUGGAGUGGUCGCCGACACUGGAGCGGAGACACGGACCCGACUCCUACGAGACGCAGCAGAAGGGAAUCUGCGGCAAUGGGCGAGAGCCUGACGGAGCGACGGCGCGCGAGUGAUGAAGGUCUUCGGAUCGGGAUACUCUGUUACUAGGGAAGAACAAAUGUGUAAGUAACUAUGCACGUCUUGACGGUACCUAAUCAGAAAGCCACGGCUAACUACGUG